AACCUUAUGGACCUGCGGGCGUAUACCUGCGGAAGGAUCAUUACACAACAAAAUAUGAAGGUCUGGCUUCGCGGCCGGCUGAAGUAUUUUUUUUCACCCAUGUCUUUUGCGCACUUGCUGUUUCCUGGGCGGGUUCGCCCGCCACCAGGACCAAACCAUAAACCUUUUUUUUAUGUAGUUGCAAUCAGCGUCAGUAAAAACAAUGUAAUUAUUACAACUUUUAACAACGGAUCUCAGAUC
RNAcentral lists this unclassified non-coding RNA (240 nucleotides) under soil metagenome. RNAcentral describes it as "partial contains 5.8S ribosomal RNA, internal transcribed spacer 2, and large subunit ribosomal RNA". The record is from RNAcentral.